CGAGUCCAUUCCCCCCAACACGAAAAUUAUUCACGAAAAGCCCCGUCAAUCACGCUAAGCCACGCCCAUCACCUGUAAUAUAUUCAAGAGCGCUCACGCUCAUUGGCUGUUAGGAUUUAACCACGCCCCUUAACCACUCCCUACCUCCCCCCCUUCCCCUCAGCACUCGCCUCCUGUUCCGCCCGCAGCGCGCGCGCGUCGCGUUUCCUCCGCUCCACCUCGGCCGCCGCCUCGUCCCGCCGCACCCGCGCCACAUUGUCUUUGUUCCGCACGUGCCACGACUUCUUCGGGAGGAUGUUCAUGGCGGCGGCGGCGGCGGCGGCGGGGCCGGCAGCGGCACCAGGCCGCGACUCUAAAGCACGGAGCCUGCACCGCGCUCCUUUCCGCCUUCUCGGUUCUGAUUGGUCGAGGCCGCUGUCGCUCCGCUCUUAACUCGCUCUCUGAUUCGUUCGGGCUUUUAGCUCCGCCCCUUGGCCGCUCUGAUUGGCUGAGAGUUAUAAUCCCGCCUUCUUCCCGCCUCUGAUUGGCUCGCUCGCCUCCCUCAGCGGGGCGAAGCCGGAAGUGGAGGUUUCCCGCCCUCUCGCAUGGUGGGAGCGCCGCCAUAUUGAACCAAUCUCCUUGGGAACUCCCGGCCCCAGUUCUUUCCGGAUUUCAAGGGUUUGCUGCAAGAUUUGCCUCAUUUCCCCCAAAGAUUCACCUCAGGGCCUUGGUGGUCCGGCAGGAUCAGGGCCGUGGCCGCCGCCAGGAUGAGCAGGGGCACAAGAUGGAGGCAGAAAUGCACCGAGGCCCAAAAUCGCAGCGUGGCCUCGGCCUCCCGCAGCACGAAACCCAUGCUCAGGGCCGCCUCGGCCGCCGCCUCUGCCGCCAGCCACAGCGGCACGGUGAGGAAGGACAGGCUGCUCCACGGAGAGGUCAAUUUGCACCCCCAAAAUUCGGUUUGUGCCCCCCGAAUUCCCUAAAGCUCAGCUCCCAGUGCCUCAGUUUUCAUCUUUAUCCCUCUCCCAGUGCCUCCCAGUGUCCCCAGUUCCUCCCAGUGCCCCCAAAU
RNAcentral lists this long non-coding RNA (1045 nucleotides) under Parus major (Great Tit). RNAcentral's name for it is "lncRNA (ENSPMJG00000004485.1)". Lineage: Eukaryota; Metazoa; Chordata; Aves; Passeriformes; Paridae. The record is from RNAcentral.